This 212-nucleotide long non-coding RNA is filed under the name Physcomitrium patens. RNAcentral's name for it is "long non-coding RNA (PPAT_LNC013671)". The record is from RNAcentral. Lineage: Eukaryota; Viridiplantae; Streptophyta; Bryopsida; Funariales; Funariaceae.
AGGCUUAUUGAAUAAGAAAAUAGACAAACACAACAAUAUUUCAAGUAGGAAAUUGAUAGGCAGUAAUAGCUAAAUGUAGUUGUGACAACCAAGGCAAUGAUCAGUAGCAACAACCAUGAGCAUUAUAAAAGAUUAAGAGUGAGAAAAAAAUAAAAAUAAAAAUCUUGAAUCCUAGCAAAAAUAAUUAGUCACAACUUUAUUGAUACCUCUGU